This 260-nucleotide unclassified non-coding RNA is filed under the name uncultured fungus. Its description in RNAcentral is "partial contains 5.8S ribosomal RNA, internal transcribed spacer 2, and large subunit ribosomal RNA". Lineage: Eukaryota; Fungi. The record is from RNAcentral.
AACGCGCAUUGCGCCUCCUGGUAUUCCGGGAGGCAUGCCUGUUCGAGCGUCAUCAAACAAACCUCAAGCACUUUUGCUUGGUAUUGGAGAUGGAGGAAGCCGCAAGGUUCGCCUCCACUCCGAAAUUCAACGGCAGAGAGCUCUCGGUGCGAUUGCGUAGUAAGUAACUAUUUCGCGGUCACCUGGAAACCUUCUCGCCAUAGAACCCCCAUUUUUCUUAGUUUGACCUCGGAUCAGGUAAGGAUACCCGCUGAACUUAA